Molecule: ribosomal RNA, 1038 nt
Filed under: Acinetobacter baumannii
Lineage: Bacteria; Pseudomonadati; Pseudomonadota; Gammaproteobacteria; Moraxellales; Moraxellaceae
Also listed under: 1 other name
Description: partial 16S ribosomal RNA
Rfam family: Bacterial small subunit ribosomal RNA
Source: RNAcentral
UUUAUGGAGAGUUUGAUCCUGGCUCAGGAUGAACGCUGGCGGCGUGCCUAAUACAUGCAAGUCGAGCGAACGGACGAGAAGCUUGCUUCUCUGAUGUUAGCGGCGGACGGGUGAGUAACACGUGGAUAACCUACCUAUAAGACUGGGAUAACUUCGGGAAACCGGAGCUAAUACCGGAUAAUAUUUUGAACCGCAUGGUUCAAAAGUGAAAGACGGUCUUGCUGUCACUUAUAGAUGGAUCCGCGCUGCAUUAGCUAGUUGGUAAGGUAACGGCUUACCAAGGCAACGAUGCAUAGCCGACCUGAGAGGGUGAUCGGCCACACUGGAACUGAGACACGGUCCAGACUCCUACGGGAGGCAGCAGUAGGGAAUCUUCCGCAAUGGGCGAAAGCCUGACGGAGCAACGCCGCGUGAGUGAUGAAGGUCUUCGGAUCGUAAAACUCUGUUAUUAGGGAAGAACAUAUGUGUAAGUAACUGUGCACAUCUUGACGGUACCUAAUCAGAAAGCCACGGCUAACUACGUGCCAGCAGCCGCGGUAAUACGUAGGUGGCAAGCGUUAUCCGGAAUUAUUGGGCGUAAAGCGCGCGUAGGCGGUUUUUUAAGUCUGAUGUGAAAGCCCACGGCUCAACCGUGGAGGGUCAUUGGAAACUGGAAAACUUGAGUGCAGAAGAGGAAAGUGGAAUUCCAUGUGUAGCGGUGAAAUGCGCAGAGAUAUGGAGGAACACCAGUGGCGAAGGCGACUUUCUGGUCUGUAACUGACGCUGAUGUGCGAAAGCGUGGGGAUCAAACAGGAUUAGAUACCCUGGUAGUCCACGCCGUAAACGAUGAGUGCUAAGUGUUAGGGGGUUUCCGCCCCUUAGUGCUGCAGCUAACGCAUUAAGCACUCCGCCUGGGGAGUACGACCGCAAGGUUGAAACUCAAAGGAAUUGACGGGGACCCGCACAAGCGGUGGAGCAUGUGGUUUAAUUCGAAGCAACGCGAAGAACCUUACCAAAUCUUGACAUCCUUUGACAACUCUAGAGAUAGAGCCUUCCCCU